UGGGGAAUAUUGCACAAUGGGCGCAAGCCUGAUGCAGCCAUGCCGCGUGUAUGAAGAAGGCCUUCGGGUUGUAAAGUACUUUCAGCGGGGAGGAAGGCGAUAAGGUUAAUAACCUUGUCGAUUGACGUUACUCGCAGAAGAAGCACCGGCUAACUCCGUGCCAGCAGCCGCGGUAAUACGGAGGGUGCAAGCGUUAAUCGGAAUUACUGGGCGUAAAGCGCACGCAGGCGGUCUGUCAAGUCGGAUGUGAAAUCCCCGGGCUCAACCUGGGAACUGCAUUCGAAACUGGCAGGCUAGAGUCUUGUAGAGGGGGGUAGAAUUCCAGGUGUAGCGGUGAAAUGCGUAGAGAUCUGGAGGAAUACCGGUGGCGAAGGCGGCCCCCUGGACAAAGACUGACGCUCAGGUGCGAAAGCGUGGGGAGCAAACA
RNAcentral lists this ribosomal RNA (427 nucleotides) under uncultured bacterium. Its description in RNAcentral is "partial 16S ribosomal RNA". It matches the Rfam family "Bacterial small subunit ribosomal RNA", at positions 355 to 774 of the family's 1533-position model. The record is from RNAcentral.